AAUCGCGGCGGCGCACGCACUUUUGUUCGUCGUUUCAUUUUCUCCGCGCCCUGCUGCUGCUGCUUCACAGUGUUUUUUGCGCGGUGUUCAUUGUGUUGCGCGGAGAUCCGACUAGCUGAUAAG
Non-coding RNA from Caenorhabditis elegans, 123 nucleotides. Lineage: Eukaryota; Metazoa; Nematoda; Chromadorea; Rhabditida; Rhabditidae. The record is from Ensembl.